Molecule: ribosomal RNA, 528 nt
Filed under: uncultured bacterium
Lineage: Bacteria
Description: bacterial SSU rRNA
Rfam family: Bacterial small subunit ribosomal RNA
Source: RNAcentral
UGUAGUGGGGGAUAACGUUCCGAAAGGGACGCUAAUACCGCAUACGCCCCAAGGGGGAAAGCGGGGGAUCUUCGGACCUCGUGCUACAGGAUGAGCUUGCGUCGGAUUAGCUAGUUGGUGGGGUAAAGGCCUACCAAGGCGACGAUCCGUAGCUGGUCUGAGAGGAUGAUCAGCCACACCGGGACUGAGACACGGCCCGGACUCCUACGGGAGGCAGCAGUGGGGAAUAUUGCGCAAUGGGGGCAACCCUGACGCAGCCAUGCCGCGUGUGUGAAGAAGGCCUUCGGGUUGUAAAGCACUUUCAGUGGGGAGGAAAGGGCGCUGGCUAAUAUCCAGUGCAGUUGACGCUACCCACAGAAGAAGCACCGGCUAAUUCCGUGCCAGCAGCCGCGGUAAUACGGAAGGUGCGAGCGUUAAUCGGAAUUACUGGGCGUAAAGCGCGCGUAGGCGGCUUGGUAAGUCGGGUGUGAAAGCCCCGGGGCUCAACCUGGGAACUGCAUUCGAUACUGCUGGGCUAGAGUACGAGAG